UACGGAGGGGGCUAGCGUUGUUCGGAAUUACUGGGCGUAAAGCGCACGUAGGCGGAUCAGCCAGUCAGGGGUGAAAUCCCGGGGCUCAACCCCGGAACUGCCUUUGAUACUGCUGGUCUGGAGUUCGGGAGAGGCGAGUGGAAUUCCGAGUGUAGAGGUGAAAUUCGUAGAUAUUCGGAGGAACACCAGUGGCGAAGGCGGCUCGCUGGCCCGAGACUGACGCUGAGGUGCGAAAGCGUGGGGAGCAAACAGG
This 253-nucleotide ribosomal RNA is filed under the name uncultured bacterium. Its description in RNAcentral is "partial 16S ribosomal RNA". It matches the Rfam family "Bacterial small subunit ribosomal RNA", at positions 524 to 776 of the family's 1533-position model. The record is from RNAcentral.